Molecule: ribosomal RNA, 1245 nt
Filed under: Candidatus Phytoplasma solani
Lineage: Bacteria; Bacillati; Mycoplasmatota; Mollicutes; Acholeplasmatales; Acholeplasmataceae
Also listed under: 2 other names
Description: bacterial SSU rRNA
Rfam family: Bacterial small subunit ribosomal RNA
Source: RNAcentral
GAAACGACUGCUAAGACUGGAUAGGAGAUAAGAAGGCAUCUUCUUAUUUUUAAAAGACCUAGCAAUAGGUAUGCUUAGGGAAGAGCUUGCGUCACAUUAGUUAGUUGGUGGGGUAAUGGCCUACCAAGACGAUGAUGUGUAGCCGGGCUGAGAGGUCGAACGGCCACAUUGGGACUGAGACACGGCCCAAACUCCUACGGGAGGCAGCAGUAAGGAAUUUUCGGCAAUGGAGGAAACUCUGACCGAGCAAUGCCGCGUGAACGAUGAAGUAUUUCGGUACGUAAAGUUCUUUUAUUAGGGAAGAAAAGAUGGUGGAAAAACCAUUAUGACGGUACCUAAUGAAUAAGCCCCGGCUAACUAUGUGCCAGCAGCCGCGGUAAUACAUAGGGGGCAAGCGUUAUCCGGAAUUAUUGGGCGUAAAGGGUGCGUAGGCGGUUAAAUAAGUUUAUGGUCUAAGUGCAACGCUCAACGUUGUGAUGCUAUAAAAACUGUUUAGCUAGAGUUGGAUAGAGGCAAGUGGAAUUCCGUGUGUAGUGGUAAAAUGCGUAAAUAUACGGAGGAACACCAGAAGCGAAGGCGGCUUGCUGGGUCUUAACCGACGCUGAGGCACGAAAGCGUGGGGAGCAAACAGAAUUAGAUACCCUGGUAGUCCACGCCCUAAACGAUGAGUACUAAACGUUGGAUAAAACCAGUGUUGAAGUUAACACAUUAAGUACUCCGCCUGAGUAGUACGUACGCAAGUAUGAAACUUAAAGGAAUUGACGGGACUCCGCACAAGCGGUGGAUCAUGUUGUUUAAUUCGAAAGGUACCCGAAAAACCUCACCAGGUCUUGACAUGCUUUUGCAAAGCUGUAGAAAUACAGUGSAGGUUAUCAGAAGCACAGGUGGUGCAUGGUUGUCGUCAGCUCGUGUCGUGAGAUGUUGGGUUAAGUCCCGCAACGAGCGCAACCCUUGUUGUUAAUUGCCAUCAUUAAGUUGGGGACUUUAGCAAGACUGCCAAUGAUAAAUUGGAGGAAGGUGGGGACGACGUCAAAUCAUCAUGCCCCUUAUGACCUGGGCUACAAACGUGAUACAAUGGCUGUUACAAAGGGUAGCUAAAGCGUAAGCUUCUGGCGAAUCUCAAAAAAGCAGUCUCAGUUCGGAUUGAAGUCUGCAACUCGACUUCAUGAAGUUGGAAUCGCUAGUAAUCGCGAAUCAGCAUGUCGCGGUGAAUACGUUCUCGGGGUUUGUACACACCGCCCGUCA